CAAUAGCGUAUAUUAAAGUUGUUGCAGUUAAAAAGCUCGUAGUUGGAUUUCGGGGCAGCCUGGAUGGUCCGCCGCAAGGCGAGUACUGGUCAGCCGCCCUUCCUCUCGAAAGCCCCGACUGCUCUUUAUUGCAGUGGUCGGGUAGUUCGGGACGUUUACUUUGAAAAAAUUAGAGUGUUCAAGGCAGGCCUACGCCUGAAUACAUUAGCAUGGAAUAAUGGAAGAGGACCUCGGUCCUAUUUUGUUGGUUUCCAGGACCGAAGUAAUGAUUAAGAGGGACAGUUGGGGGCAUUCGUAUUUAAUUGUCAGAGGUGAAAUUCUCGGAUUUAUGAAAGACGAACAACUGCGAAAGCAUUUGCCAAGGAUGUUUUCAUUAA
This 377-nucleotide ribosomal RNA is filed under the name uncultured eukaryote. RNAcentral describes it as "partial 18S ribosomal RNA". It matches the Rfam family "Eukaryotic small subunit ribosomal RNA", at positions 592 to 976 of the family's 1831-position model. The record is from RNAcentral.